AUGUUGAAGGGUCCAUCUCUCCUUCCUGCGAUGUUGGUUCAAGCAAGUGUUUUGGUUUCCUCGUCUUCGAAUCCUGAGCUGGCGACAUUUGGGAUUGUCCAGUCAAAGACCAAGGCGAAAUCCUUGCUCAGCUUGCUGUUGCUGGCAGCGGCGACACAUGCGGGUGCCGUGUCCUUCUUGAAGGCGCUGCCAUGUCUUUUGUCUGUGUUCCACUUCGCGCACCGGGGGAAACCCCUAGUCUGGUUCACCAGAUUGGACAGCGGCGGCGUCCCGAUGUCGUAUCCUUCAUGA
Molecule: ribosomal RNA, 291 nt
Filed under: Triticum aestivum (bread wheat)
Lineage: Eukaryota; Viridiplantae; Streptophyta; Magnoliopsida; Poales; Poaceae
Description: partial small subunit ribosomal RNA
Source: RNAcentral